CAGCAGCCGCGGUAAAACGAAGGGUGCAAGCGUUAAUCGGAAUUACUGGGCGUAAAGCGCGCGUAGGUGGUUUGGUAAGAUGGAUGUGAAAUCCCCGGGCUCAACCUGGGAACUGCAUCCAUAACUGCCUGACUAGAGUACGGUAGAGGGUGGUGGAAUUUCCUGUGUAGCGGUGAAAUGCGUAGAUAUAGGAAGGAACACCAGUGGCGAAGGCGACCACCUGGACUGAUACUGACACUGAGGUGCGAAAGCGUGGGGAGCAAACAGGAUUAGAUACCCGCGUAGUCCCUGUCUCUUAUAC
RNAcentral lists this ribosomal RNA (301 nucleotides) under uncultured bacterium. RNAcentral's name for it is "partial 16S ribosomal RNA". It matches the Rfam family "Bacterial small subunit ribosomal RNA", at positions 509 to 807 of the family's 1533-position model. The record is from RNAcentral.